AUACGGAGGGUGCAAGCGUUGUUCGGAAUAACUGGGCGUAAAGGGCGCGCAGGCGGUUGGAUAAGUCAGAUGUGAAAUCCCUGGGCUCAACCCAGGAAGUGCAUUUGAAACUGUCCAUCUUGAGUACGGGAGAGGGAAGCGGAAUUCCGAGUGUAGAGGUGAAAUUCGUAGAUAUUCGGAGGAACACCGGUGGCGAAGGCGGCUUCCUGGACCGAUACUGACGCUGAGGCGCGAAAGCGUGGGGAGCAAACAGGAUUAGAUACCCGAGUAGUCC
Molecule: ribosomal RNA, 274 nt
Filed under: uncultured bacterium
Lineage: Bacteria
Description: partial 16S ribosomal RNA
Rfam family: Bacterial small subunit ribosomal RNA
Source: RNAcentral